This 460-nucleotide ribosomal RNA is filed under the name uncultured bacterium. RNAcentral describes it as "partial 16S ribosomal RNA". It matches the Rfam family "Bacterial small subunit ribosomal RNA", at positions 338 to 795 of the family's 1533-position model. The record is from RNAcentral.
CCUACGGGAGGCUGCAGUGAGGAAUAUUGGUCAAUGGACGGAAGUCUGAACCAGCCAUGCCGCGUGCAGGAAGACGGCUCUAUGAGUUGUCAACUUCUUUUGUACAAGGGUAAACCUGCAUACGUGUCUUCCGCUGAAAGUACUGUACGAAUAAGGAUCGGCUAACUCCGUGCCAGCAGCCGCGGUAAUACGGAGGAUCCACGCGUUAUCCGGAUUUCUUGGGUUUAAAGGGUGCGUAGGCGGAUUGAUAAGUUAGAGGUGAAAUGUCCGAGCUUAACUCGGGAACUGCCUGUAAUACUGUUGAUCGAGAGAGUAGAUGCGGUAGGAGGAAUGUAUGGUGUAGCGGUGAAAUGCUUAGAGAUCAUACAGAACACCGAUUGCGAAGGCAGCUUACCAAUCUAUAUCUGACGUUGAGGCACGAAAGCGUGGGGAGCAAACAGGAUUAGAUACCCCAGUAGUC